GUGAAGGUGUGUCGUGAGGCAUGCUGGAGGUAUCAGAAGUGCGAAUGCUGACAUAAGUAACGAUAAAGCGGGUGAAAAGCCCGCUCGCCGGAAGACCAAGGGUUCCUGUCCAACGUUAAUCGGGGCAGGGUGAGUCGACCCCUAAGGCGAGGCCGAAAGGCGUAGUCGAUGGGAAACGGGUUAAUAUUCCCGUACUUGGUGUUACUGCGAAGGGGGGACGGAGAAGGCUAUGUUGGCCGGGCGACGGUUGUCCCGGUUUAAGCGUGUAGGUGUGUGUUCCAGGUAAAUCCGGUUCACUUUAACACUGAGGCGUGACGACGAGGCACUACGGUGCUGAAGCAACAAAUGCCCUGCUUCCAGGAAAAGCCUCUAAGCAUCAGGUAACACGAAAUCGUACCCCAAACCGACACAGGUGGUCAGGUAGAGAAUACCAAGGCGCUUGAGAGAACUCGGGUGAAGGAACUAGGCAAAAUGGUGCCGUAACUUCGGGAGAAGGCACGCUGACACGUAGGUGAAGUGAUUUACUCAUGGAGCUGAAGUCAGUCGAAGAUACCAGCUGGCUGCAACUGUUUAUUAAAAACACAGCACUGUGCAAACACGAAAGUGGACGUAUACGGUGUGACGCCUGCCCGGUGCCGGAAGGUUAAUUGAUGGGGUCAGCGUAAGCGAAGCUCCUGAUCGAAGCCCCGGUAAACGGCGGCCGUAACUAUAACGGUCCUAAGGUAGCGAAAUUCCUUGUCGGGUAAGUUCCGACCUGCACGAAUGGCGUAAUGAUGGCCAGGCUGUCUCCACCCGAGACUCAGUGAAAUUGAACUCGCUGUGAAGAUGCAGUGUACCCGCGGCAAGACGGAAAGACCCCGUGAACCUUUACUAUAGCUUGACACUGAACAUUGAGCCUUGAUGUGUAGGAUAGGUGGGAGGCUUUGAAGUGUGGACGCCAGUCUGCAUGGAGCCGACCUUGAAAUACCACCCUUUAAUGUUUGAUGUUCUAACGUGGACCCGUAAUCCGGGUUGCGGACAGUGUCUGGUGGGUAGUUUGACUGGGGCGGUCUCCUCCUAAAGAGUAACGGAGGAGCACGAAGGUUGGCUAAUCCUGGUCGGACAUCAGGAGGUUAGUGCAAUGGCAUAAGCCAGCUUGACUGCGAGCGUGACGGCGCGAGCAGGUGCGAAAGCAGGUCAUAGUGAUCCGGUGGUUCUGAAUGGAAGGGCCAUCGCUCAACGGAUAAAAGGUACUCCGGGGAUAACAGGCUGAUACCGCCCAAGAGUUCAUAUCGACGGCGGUGUUUGGCACCUCGAUGUCGGCUCAUCACAUCCUGGGGCUGAAGUAGGUCCCAAGGGUAUGGCUGUUCGCCAUUUAAAGUGGUACGCGAGCUGGGUUUAGAACGUCGUGAGACAGUUCGGUCCCUAUCUGCCGUGGGCGCUGGAGAACUGAGGGGGGCUGCUCCUAGUACGAGAGGACCGGAGUGGACGCAUCACUGGUGUUCGGGUUGUCAUGCCAAUGGCACUGCCCGGUAGCUAAAUGCGGAAGAGAUAAGUGCUGAAAGCAUCUAAGCACGAAACUUGCCCCGAGAUGAGUUCUCCCUGAGACUUAGAGUCUCCUGAAGGAACGUUGAAGACGACGACGUUGAUAGGCCGGGUGUGUAAGCGCAGCGAUGCGUUGAGCUAACCGGUACUAAUGAACCGUGAGGCUUAACCUUACA
Molecule: ribosomal RNA, 1700 nt
Filed under: Salmonella enterica
Lineage: Bacteria; Pseudomonadati; Pseudomonadota; Gammaproteobacteria; Enterobacterales; Enterobacteriaceae
Description: partial 23S ribosomal RNA
Rfam family: Bacterial large subunit ribosomal RNA
Source: RNAcentral